Molecule: non-coding RNA, 145 nt
Organism: Drosophila ficusphila
Lineage: Eukaryota; Metazoa; Arthropoda; Insecta; Diptera; Drosophilidae
Source: Rfam
UUUGGAUAAAGGCCUCAAAUUGAAUGUGAAAAUGCUGAAAACUUCGUCCAAUUCGCAAAAUGGCCACAAUCCUAGAUUAAAGAUCAGGAACUCUGUGUAAGGACAUUGAAGCUUGUGACCUUGCAUCGUUCUUCCUGCGACAUUU